This 237-nucleotide ribosomal RNA is filed under the name uncultured bacterium. RNAcentral describes it as "partial 16S ribosomal RNA". It matches the Rfam family "Bacterial small subunit ribosomal RNA", at positions 15 to 248 of the family's 1533-position model. The record is from RNAcentral.
GAUCAUGGCUCAGGAUGAACGCUAGCGACAGGCUUAACACAUGCAAGUCGAGGGGCAGCACAGGUAGCAAUACCGGGUGGCGACCGGCGCACGGGUCAGUAACGCGUAUGCAACUUACCUAUCAGAGGGGGAUAGCCCGGCGAAAGUCGGAUUAAUACCCCAUGAAACAGGGGUCCCGCAUGGGAAUAUUUGUUAAAGAUUCAUCGCUGAUAGAUAGGCAUGCGUUCCAUUAGGCAG